RNAcentral lists this transfer RNA (85 nucleotides) under Acidimicrobiales bacterium. RNAcentral's name for it is "tRNA-Ser". It matches the Rfam family "tRNA". From Rfam's summary of the family: Transfer RNA (tRNA) molecules are approximately 80 nucleotides in length. Their secondary structure includes four short double-helical elements and three loops (D, anti-codon, and T loops). The record is from RNAcentral. Lineage: Bacteria; Bacillati; Actinomycetota; Acidimicrobiia; Acidimicrobiales.
GACACUUUGGCCGAGUGGUUAAGGCGGUGGCCUGCUAAGCCAUUGUGCUCUGCCCGCGUGGGUUCGAAUCCCACAGGCGUCGCCA